UUAGAAAAGCCCAGUAGCGAGUUGACAUGGUGCCCGUACCCCAAACCAACACAGGUGGACAGGUAGAGCAUACCAAGGCGAGUGGGAUAACUAUGGUUAAGGAACUCGGCAAAUUUCCUCCGUAACUUCGGGAUAAGGAGGACCCCAGUAGCGUGACGAGACUUGCUCUCCGAGCGUGAAGGGGUGGCACAAAAUUGAGGGAAGCGACUGUUUACCAAAAACACAGCAGCGUGCUAAGCCGUAAGGCGCUGUAUACGCUGUGACUCCUGCCCGGUGCUGGAAGGUUACGGGGAUGGGUUAGUCCUUCGGGACGAAGCUCUGAACCUAAGCCCCAGUAAACGGCGGCCGUAACUAUAACGGUCCUAAGGUAGCGAAAUUCCUUGUCGGGUAAGUUCCGACCUGCACGAACGGAGUAACGACUUCCCUACUGUCUCAACCAUAGACCCAGCGAAAUUGAAGUACGAGUAAAGAUGCUCGUUAGCUGCAGAAGGACGGAAAGACCCCGUGGACCUUUACUAUAACUUGAUGUUGUGUUUUGUCAUAUGUUGUGUAGGAUAGGUGGGAGACAAGGAAGCAUGGACGCUAGUCUGUGUGGAGUCAUCGUUGAAAUACCACCCUGCAUAUGGUGAGGCUCUAACCUAGACCCGUUAUCCGGGUUGGGGACAGCGUCAGGCGGGUAGUUUAACUGGGGCGGUUGCCUCCUAAAGAGUAACGGAGGCGCCCAAAGGUUCCCUCAGCCUGGUUGGCAAUCAGGCGUCGAGUGCAAUGGCAAAAGGGAGCUUGACUGCGAGACCUACAAGUCGAGCAGGAGCGAAAGCUGGGCAUAGUGAUCCGGCGGUUGCGUGUGGAAGCGCCGUCGCUCAACGGAUAAAAGGUACCCCGGGGAUAACAGGCUAAUCUUGCCCAAGCGUCCAUAGCGACGGCAAGGUUUGGCACCUCGAUGUCGGCUCAUCGCAUCCUGGGGCUGAAGCAGGUCCCAAGGGUUGGGCUGUUCGCCCAUUAAAGCGGUACGCGAGCUGGGUUCAGAACGUCGUGAGACAGUUCGGUCCCUAUCCUCUGUAGCCGUAGGUGAAUUGAGGAAAGCUGUCCCUAGUACGAGAGGACCGGGACGGACGCAGCUCUCGUGUGCCAGUUGUCCUGCCAAGGGCAUGGCUGGUUAGCGACCUGCGGAAAGGAUAACCGCUGAAAGCAUCUAAGCGGGAAGCCUCUUCCGAGAUGAAUUCACCCACAGGGUUAACCUGGUAAGGCCCGUGGUAGACCACCACGUUGAUAGGCCGGAAGUGUAAGCGUGGCAACACGUUCAGCUGACCGGUACUAAUCGGCCGAGGGCUUGAAUUC
This 1338-nucleotide ribosomal RNA is filed under the name metagenome. RNAcentral describes it as "bacterial LSU rRNA". It matches the Rfam family "Bacterial large subunit ribosomal RNA", at positions 1609 to 2925 of the family's 2925-position model. The record is from RNAcentral.